UCCAGCAAUGCCGCGUGUGUGAAGAAGGCCUGAGGGUUGUAAAGCACUUUCAGUGGGGAGGAGGGUUGAUUGGUUAAGAGCUGAUUAAUUGGACGUUACCCACAGAAGAAGCACCGGCUAACUCCGUGCCAGCAGCCGCGGUAAUACGGAGGGUGCGAGCGUUAAUCGGAAUUACUGGGCGUAAAGGGUGCGUAGGUGGUUUGAUAAGUUAUCUGUGAAAGCCCUGGGCUCAACCUGGGAAGGCCAGAUAAGACUGUUAGACUUGAGUAUGGGAGAGGGUAGUGGAAUUUCCGGUGUAGCGGUGAAAUGCGUAGAGAUCGGAAGGAACACCAGUGGCGAAGGCGGCUACCUGGCCCAAUACUGACACUGAAGCACGAAAGCGUGGGGAGCAAACAGGAUUAGAUACCCUGGUAGUCCACGCCGUAAACGAUGUCAACUAGCUGUUGGUCAUAUGAAUGUGAUUAGUGGCGAAGCUAACGCGAUAAGUUGACCGCCUGGGGAGUACGAUCGCAAGAUUAAAACUCAAAGGAAUUGACGG
Molecule: ribosomal RNA, 538 nt
Filed under: uncultured bacterium
Lineage: Bacteria
Description: bacterial SSU rRNA
Rfam family: Bacterial small subunit ribosomal RNA
Source: RNAcentral